UACGGGGGGGGCAAGCGUUGUUCGGAAUUACUGGGCGUAAAGGGUUCGUAGGUGGCCAACUAAGUCAGACGUGAAAUCCCUCAGCUUAACUGGGGAACUGCGUCUGAGACUGGAUGGCUUGAGUGCAGGAGAGGAACGCGGAAUUCCAGGUGUAGCGGUGAAAUUCGUAGAUAUUGGGAAGAACACCGGUGGCGAAGGCGGCUCACUGGCUCAUUUCUGACGCUCAGGCGCGACAGCGUGGGGAUCAAACAGG
Molecule: ribosomal RNA, 253 nt
Filed under: uncultured bacterium
Lineage: Bacteria
Description: partial 16S ribosomal RNA
Rfam family: Bacterial small subunit ribosomal RNA
Source: RNAcentral